This 495-nucleotide ribosomal RNA is filed under the name uncultured bacterium. RNAcentral describes it as "partial 16S ribosomal RNA". It matches the Rfam family "Bacterial small subunit ribosomal RNA", at positions 28 to 507 of the family's 1533-position model. The record is from RNAcentral.
GAUGAACGCUGGCGGCGUGCCUAAUACAUGCAAGUAGAACGCUGAAGGAGGAGCUUGCUCUUCUGGAUGAGUUGCGAACGGGUGAGUAACGCGUAGGUAACCUGCCUGGUAGCGGGGGAUAACUAUUGGAAACGAUAGCUAAUACCGCAUGACAACAGUUAUUGCAUGAUAACUGUUUAAAAGGGGCAACUGCUCCACUACCAGAUGGACCUGCGUUGUAUUAGCUAGUUGGUGAGGUAACGGCUCACCAAGGCGACGAUACAUAGCCGACCUGAGAGGGGGAACGGCCAAACUGGGACUGAGACACGGCCCAGACGCCUACGGGAGGCAGCAGGAGGGAAUCUUCGGCAAGGGACGGAAGGCUGAACGAGCAACGCCGCGUGAGUGAAGAAGGGUUUCGGAUCGUAAAGCUCUGUUGUAAGAGAAGAACGAGUGUGAGAGUGGAAAGUUCACACUGUGACGGUAUCUUACCAGAAAGGGACGGCUAACUACGUG